Molecule: long non-coding RNA, 1669 nt
Filed under: Brassica rapa (field mustard)
Lineage: Eukaryota; Viridiplantae; Streptophyta; Magnoliopsida; Brassicales; Brassicaceae
Description: long non-coding RNA (BRAP_LNC001231)
Source: RNAcentral
CUUUUAUGGGAAUCUCUUUUUCAAGAAAAUUUCCAUCAUAAGGUAAAUCAAUAAUAUGUUGUUUUCGAUUCCAAAAAGCAGUUGGUAAAUCUGAACAAAUUUCUUUCUCAAAUAAUUUAUUUAAGUUUGAAAUUUUUUUCUUUUAUAUCUAUUGAAUUUAAGGUUUCUAAGGUUUUUUGAAGUAAAAACUCUGAUUUAAAUGUUCUAGAUGGAAGGUUUUACUAUGGAUUAAAGAGUUUAGAAAGUUUUCUUGUAUAGAACAAGCUUUUAUUAAGUCUAGACUUCCUUUUUUUGGUGUUUGUGGGAACCGAAAUUCGCACUGUCGAUUUUAGUAAGUUAAAUAUGGAGGAAGGUCAAGAUAACCCGACUUUCCCUGAAGGUCCGGAUUCUCUGCGUAACCACACGAAAUCGAUAAAGAAGAACAGAUGACAAAACAUAAGUAAAAAGUCGCUCGAAGGCGUUUUAUUGAUUAAAUGAUAUGAAUACAAAACUUGUGCUAGGUGGUUCUAAGAAAAUGAUCAGUCUAUGAUCAAGUUCUUACCUAGAUAGAAAACGGUUCUACUUGAUGAAUCAGUCUUAUCCUUCAACUUUACUCGACCACUGACCUGAAUCUGAAACAGAGCAGUUCAUAGCAUGAUCUUCAAUCCAACAGUUCGGUUCUGAAGAAGAUAUUUAAAUAAGUUCCUAACGGCUCGGUUUACAACAAGGUUAAUCAGUUCAGCUCAUGUGUAGUCCAGACCAUGACCAGUUCAGUUCAGAUUAAACCCCAUCAGUUCAUAAUAGAUGAGAUAAUUCUAUUCUAGCAAACUGAUUUAUUUAUUAAUCUGAAAUAAUUAAAUCUGAACCGAAGAAAUGCUUAGACAAUUGAUCAAUGGCAACAGCUUAACUAAACAACAUCUGAUGUUGAUCAAGAGAUGACUGAGACAAGAGACUGAAGCUUACAACAACAACUGGUGGCCAGAUGAACUCAGAUGAUUCUCUUCUUCAAGCUUAGCUCACAGCUGGACUGUUUUCAAAGAGACAUCAAGCUUCAGUUCAGAUCAGAAACAGAACAAGAUCUAGGUUUUAUUCUGAAUAUCUCACCUUUUUAUCUUCCACACAUCAUCAGACUGAAUCAUCCAAGGAGUUUUCUGAAUUUUCUAUGAUUUUUCUCAGAUUUUUCUUUCAAUCCUUCUCACUGAUUUUCUCUGAAUAUUUUCUCUGCUUUCUUGUUGUUAUGGACGACCAAGCAGGUGGGGAAAAGGUUAAAAUAGGUUCUGACCUUACUUCACCUGAGGGUUUCACUAAGGACAAAGCUAAGUUGUGCAAGGACAGGUGGUGACCAGCUUCAUCACUCUAAGCAGCCAAGCAGCUCUCCUUUCCUUCACAUUAAGAAAGCUGCAAGCAGCUGGUGACAGUCAUGUGACUGAUUAAUUAGCAAGCACAACAAGCAGCUUGUGACUUGCAUGUGCCCAUUACUACAUAAGCAAGCAAGCAGGAAGGUGCAUGACAUGUGACUUGAUAAGUAAACAAGCAUGCUGGCUUAGGAAGUUAUGGCAUUAGACGGGUCAAGAUUAUUAAGGAAGCUGGUUGAUAAUUCUGAAUAAUAUUUCGACCAAAUAUUCCUUGUCCUUUGGCUCUUGGAAAAUCUCGUUCAGCUUAAUAAAAAUUUGACCAAAAUAUAUAUAAG